GAUGAACGCUGGCGGCGUGCCUAAUACAUGCAAGUCGAGCGAACAGACGAGGAGCUUGCUCCUCUGACGUUAGCGGCGGACGGGUGAGUAACACGUGGAUAACCUACCUAUAAGACUGGGAUAACUUCGGGAAACCGGAGCUAAUACCGGAUAAUAUAUUGAACCGCAUGGUUCAAUAGUGAAAGACGGUUUUGCUGUCACUUAUAGAUGGAUCCGCGCCGCAUUAGCUAGUUGGUAAGGUAACGGCUUACCAAGGCAACGAUGCGUAGCCGACCUGAGAGGGUGAUCGGCCACACUGGAACUGAGACACGGUCCAGACUCCUACGGGAGGCAGCAGUAGGGAAUCUUCCGCAAUGGGCGAAAGCCUGACGGAGCAACGCCGCGUGAGUGAUGAAGGUCUUCGGAUCGUAAAACUCUGUUAUUAGGGAAGAACAAAUGUGUACGUAACUAUGCACGUCUUGACGGUACCUAAUCAGAAAGCCACGGCUAACUACGUG
Molecule: ribosomal RNA, 497 nt
Filed under: uncultured bacterium
Lineage: Bacteria
Description: partial 16S ribosomal RNA
Rfam family: Bacterial small subunit ribosomal RNA
Source: RNAcentral